Molecule: ribosomal RNA, 403 nt
Filed under: Verrucomicrobiota bacterium
Lineage: Bacteria; Pseudomonadati; Verrucomicrobiota
Description: Verrucomicrobia bacterium partial 16S ribosomal RNA
Rfam family: Bacterial small subunit ribosomal RNA
Source: RNAcentral
UGGGGAAUAUUGCACAAUGGGGGAAACCCUGAUGCAGCGACGCCGCGUGAGCGAAGAAGGCUUUCGAGUCGUAAAGCUCUGUCCUAUGAGAAGAUAAUGACGGUAUCAUAGGAGGAAGCCCUGGCUAAAUACGUGCCAGCAGCCGCGGUAAUACGUAUGGGGCGAGCGUUGUCCGGAAUUAUUGGGCGUAAAGGGUGCGUAGGUGGUCUUUCAAGUCGGUGGUUAAAGGCUACGGCUCAACCGUAGUUAGCCUCCGAAACUGGAAGACUUGAGUGCAGGAGAGGAAAGUGGAAUUCCCAGGGUAGCGGUGAAAUGCGUAGAUAUUGGGAGGAACACCAGUAGCGAAGGCGGCUUUCUGGACUGCAACUGACACUGAGGCACGAAAGCGUGGGUAGCAAACAGG